Molecule: ribosomal RNA, 253 nt
Filed under: uncultured bacterium
Lineage: Bacteria
Description: partial 16S ribosomal RNA
Rfam family: Bacterial small subunit ribosomal RNA
Source: RNAcentral
UACGAAGGGGGCUAGCGUUGCUCGGAAUUACUGGGCGUAAAGCGCACGUAGGCGGUUUCUUAAGUCGGGGGUGAAAUCCUGGAGCUCAACUCCAGAACUGCCUUUGAUACUGGAGAGCUUGAGUCCGGGAGAGGUGAGUGGAACUCCGAGUGUAGAGGUGAAAUUCGUAGAUAUUCGGAAGAACACCAGUGGCGAAGGCGGCUCACUGGCCCGGUACUGACGCUGAUGUGCGAAAGCGUGGGGAGCAAACAGG